GCCUGGGUGGCUCAGUCGGUUGAGCGUCCGACUUCGGCUCAGGUCAUGAUCUCACGGUUCGUGGGUUCCAGCCCCAUAUCGGGCU
Felis catus (domestic cat) is the source of this 85-nucleotide transfer RNA. It matches the Rfam family "tRNA". From Rfam's summary of the family: Transfer RNA (tRNA) molecules are approximately 80 nucleotides in length. The record is from Rfam. Lineage: Eukaryota; Metazoa; Chordata; Mammalia; Carnivora; Felidae.